UAUAGCAUGAGGAUUAUAGUUAAUAAUGCUGUAUUGUGUACUUGAAAUUUGCGAAGAGAAGAGAUUGUAGGUGUUCUCACCACACACACAGAAAGCUUCCCUUGUAACUCUGCUGGCUUCCACUUGGAAGGAACUCUUUACUUUUUGGAAUUACAGAAUUUUGGGGGAGGACCCCAGACAACAGUCUCCUCCUGAUCUGGACUGGCCUCAAAUCCUGGUCUUCUGAGUCUCUGUUGACUGUUCUUCCCUACUAUGCCAU
Molecule: long non-coding RNA, 259 nt
Organism: Hyaena hyaena (striped hyena)
Lineage: Eukaryota; Metazoa; Chordata; Mammalia; Carnivora; Hyaenidae
Exons: 3
Source: RefSeq, a predicted model, not a curated record